GGGCUGCAGUGGGGAAUUUUGGACAAUGGGGGCAACCCUGAUCCAGCCAUUCCGCGUGAGUGAAGAAGGCCUUCGGGUUGUAAAGCUCUUUCAGCUGGAAAGAAACGGUGAGCUCUAACAUAGCUUGCUAAUGACGGUACCAGCAGAAGAAGCACCGGCUAACUACGUGCCAGCAGCCGCGGUAAUACGGAGGGUGCAAGCGUUGUUCGGAAUUACUGGGCGUAAAGCGUGCGCAGGCGGAUUGUUAAGCAAGAUGUGAAAUCCCCGGGCUUAACCUGGGAAUGGCAUUUUGAACUGGCAGUCUAGAGUGUGUCAGAGGGGGGUGGAAUUCCACGUGUAGCAGUGAAAUGCGUAGAUAUGUGGAGGAACACCAAUGGCGAAGGCAGCCCCCUGGGAUAACACUGACGCUCAUGUACGAAAGCGUGGGUAGCAAACAGGAUUAGAUACCCCAGUAGUC
This 457-nucleotide ribosomal RNA is filed under the name uncultured Thiobacillus sp. Its description in RNAcentral is "bacterial SSU rRNA". It matches the Rfam family "Bacterial small subunit ribosomal RNA", at positions 346 to 795 of the family's 1533-position model. The record is from RNAcentral. Lineage: Bacteria; Pseudomonadati; Pseudomonadota; Betaproteobacteria; Nitrosomonadales; Thiobacillaceae.